AGCUGGAGUGGACAGGACGGCUUUCGAGAUUUGGCGCGGCCUUUGUCUCUGGCUGCAGUCGUAGCUCCAGGUCUUUUCUUCUCUGUUCUGUGUCUUCUGCUCCUAGAGGCCCAGCUUCUGUGUCCCUGUGACCUGUAGGUAUUGGGAGAUCCACAGCUAAGAUGCCAGGACCCCCUGGGCCUUUUUCUUCCUAGGUUCUGCCUGCAAAGAAGAUUGUGACAUAUUGCUGGUUGCAACACCACGGUGAUGUUACUUUUUGCCUUCUCACUGCCCUCAGAAGGCAUUGUGAUAUGUUGGUGGUCCCCUUUCUUUUUUCAGACUUGUCUGCAGCGCAGAUUGCUACAUAUUGCUUGGCCCAGCUCCUAUGUGAUGUGACUCUCCUGUCAUACCUGAUCUCACUUUUUCUAGAUGGGCAACAGACCAACUUCAGCUUGCAACCCUCUGGAGUGCAUUCUGUAACACUGGAACUUCUUUAACCUCCGGACUUUGAAGAAGAAAGCAACCAUUUUCUUUUGCACAAGGGCAUGACAUUUAUAAAAAAAAAUUACAGAUAUCAACUCUUGGAUACACCACACUCAAGUCAAGUCCUGAAGAGCUGAGGGAGCAACCCCUUACAAGCCCAGAGGAAUGUCCUGAAUAUCAGUGUGAAGAAAUAGAAAAUCUUAAGCUGAAAAUCAUAAAAGAUAAGUAACUUAGGGCUACUCAUCUUGCUCACUACUACGUCAUUGGACACUUUUUGUCAUUUCUAUUUUUCCUCUCCAAGUUUGCCGCCAACUAUUAAAACUUCUCUUUUAACACAUAUUUACAAGAAAAUUUUAAUUAUUCAUAGGAUUGCAUUUGUAACUUCAUAGAACCCCAAAGGGAAAUUCUAUACCUUGGCAAAUAAAAUUUAUAAAUAA
Molecule: long non-coding RNA, 899 nt
Filed under: Homo sapiens (human)
Lineage: Eukaryota; Metazoa; Chordata; Mammalia; Primates; Hominidae
Description: HSALNT0123632
Source: RNAcentral